Molecule: small RNA, 28 nt
Filed under: Bombyx mori (domestic silkworm)
Lineage: Eukaryota; Metazoa; Arthropoda; Insecta; Lepidoptera; Bombycidae
Description: ovarian small RNA-26641
Source: RNAcentral
UCCACCACGAGGCGGUGGGAACAGCAGC